RNAcentral lists this ribosomal RNA (484 nucleotides) under uncultured bacterium. Its description in RNAcentral is "partial 16S ribosomal RNA". It matches the Rfam family "Bacterial small subunit ribosomal RNA", at positions 28 to 507 of the family's 1533-position model. The record is from RNAcentral.
GAUUAACGCUAGCGGCAGGCAUAAUACAUGCAAGUUGAACGGCAGCACAGGUAGCAAUACUGGGUGGCGAGUGGCGCACGGGUGCGUAACACGUAUGCAACCUACCCUAUACAGGCGAAUAACCUUUAGAAAUGAGGGCUAAUACGCCGUAGUAUUACAGAUGGGCAUCUAUUUGUAAUUAAAGAUUUAUCGGUAUAGGAUGGGCAUGCGUCCCAUUAGUUAGUUGGUAAGGUAACGGCUUACCAAGACGAUGAUGGGUAGGGGAUCUGAGAGGACUUACCCCCACACUGGUACUGAGACACGGACCAGACUCCUACGGGAGGCAGCAGUAAGGAAUAUUGGCCAAUGGCCGCGAGGCUGACCCAGCCAUGCCGCGUGCAGGAAGACGGCCUUAUGGGUUGUAAACUGCUUUUAUACGGGAAUAAUAGAGUGUACGCGUACAUUUAUGCAAGUAUCGUAUGAAUAAGCAUCGGCUAACUCCGUG